GCCGGGGCAGGUGUCAUACCCUCUGGGGGCUGGGGCAGGUGCCGCGCCCGGGGGAGCAGGCAGAGGUGCCGCCCCGCGGGGAGCCUGGAGAGGUGCUGCACCUGCGGGGAGCAUGCAGAGGUGCCGCCCCCGGGGGAGCACGGAGAGGUGCUGCACCUGCGGGGGGCACGGAGAGGUGCUGCACCUGCGGGAGGCACGGAGAGGUGCUGCACCUGCGGGGGACACGGAGAGGUGCCGCCCCCGGGGGAGCACGGAGAGGUGCUGCACCUGCGGGGAGCCUGGAGAGGUGCUGCACCUGCGGGGGGCACGGAGAGGUGCCGCCCCCGGGGGAGCACGGACAGGUGCUGCACCUGCAGGGAGCAUGCAGAGGUGCCGCCCCCGGGGGAGCACGGAGAGGCCACAUCCGCGGGGCGCGGCGGCAAGUGUCGCACCCACCGGGCAGGGGCAGGGGCAGGUGCCGCACCCACAGGCAGCCGCGGUCGGGACCAGGUGGUGGGCGGGGCGCACCUGGCGGGCGCCCCUGGGCCGCGGGGAAGGAGGCCCAGUCUCAGAAGCCAGGUAAACAAACAGGGCCCGGCCGCCUGUCCCCGUCGGGCCCCUUUGCUCCCAGCCGCCCCCGUGUGGCCCAGGCUCGGGAACUACCCCUCUCCCCCGGCCCCCCGCCCCCCUGAACCCCCGCCCCCCCGCCCCCCUGCGCCCCACCGCCCCCCGCAGCUGGCCCCUUCGCUCCUGCUCUUGCGGAUCCAAGAAGAGCCCCCCCGGGAGCCAAAGAUGGACCAGGCCGUCGGCUUCCCCCUGCAGCCCUGCUCGCUCCCGUCCCCCCCACCCUUUACCCACGCGGGAGCCUCCGAUCCACGGGCGGGGCAGGGGUGCCCUCUGCCGCCAGAGCCGCGGAUGCGCGGGCGCCCGUCGCGGGGCGACCUGGAGAGGCUCCUGGGCUCCUCCAGGGGAGGGGAGGCCCGGGGUCCCUGCAGGGCAGGCCUGGGGCGUUGGCCUAGGCCCUCAGUCCGCGUCGCCCCCGAGCUCCCCGGGGCGCUCCUGGAUAUGCACAGAGCGAACCCGGGAGCCUCUGGCCCAGCUGCAGAGGCGCAGUGCUCCCCGCGGGCGCGCGUCCUCCCCCGGGCCGCGUGGGGCCCAGUGUUUCUCAUCCUCGCUGGUUGCCGUGGUGUUGCUAUUCCAAGUGUUUCUAGCAAAAACAACAACAACAACAACAAAAAAAACCAACCACCAAUCUGUAAUAGUGUUUUCUAUAGAAUAUAA
RNAcentral lists this long non-coding RNA (1260 nucleotides) under Canis lupus familiaris (dog). Its description in RNAcentral is "lncRNA (ENSCAFG00030002210.1)". Lineage: Eukaryota; Metazoa; Chordata; Mammalia; Carnivora; Canidae. The record is from RNAcentral.